This 444-nucleotide ribosomal RNA is filed under the name Clostridioides difficile. RNAcentral's name for it is "bacterial SSU rRNA". It matches the Rfam family "Bacterial small subunit ribosomal RNA", at positions 1 to 452 of the family's 1533-position model. Lineage: Bacteria; Bacillati; Bacillota; Clostridia; Peptostreptococcales; Peptostreptococcaceae. The record is from RNAcentral.
UUUUAUUUGAGAGUUUGAUCCUGGCUCAGGAUGAACGCUGGCGGCGUGCCUAACACAUGCAAGUUGAGCGAUUUACUUCGGUAAAGAGCGGCGGACGGGUGAGUAACGCGUGGGUAACCUACCCUGUACACACGGAUAACAUACCGAAAGGUAUGCUAAUACGGGAUAAUAUAUUUGAGAGGCAUCUCUUGAAUAUCGAAGGUGAGCCAGUACAGGAUGGACCCGCGUCUGAUUAGCUAGUUGGUAAGGUAACGGCUUACCAAGGCGACGAUCAGUAGCCGACCUGAGAGGGUGAUCGGCCACAUUGGAACUGAGACACGGUCCAAACUCCUACGGGAGGCAGCAGUGGGGAAUAUUGCACAAUGGGCGAAAGCCUGAUGCAGCAACGCCGCGUGAGUGAUGAAGGCCUUCGGGUCGUAAAACUCUGUCCUCAAGGAAGAUAAU